GACGAACGCUGGCGGCGUGCUUAACACAUGCAAGUCGAACGGAAAGGCCCUGCUUGCAGGGUACUCGAGUGGCGAACGGGCGAGUAACACGUGGGUGAUCUGCCCUGCACUUCGGGAUAAGCCUGGGAAACUGGGUCUAAUACCGGAUAGGAGCCAGUUUUAGUGUGAUGGUUGGAAAGUUUUUUCGGUGUAGGAUGAGCUCGCGGCCUAUCAGCUUGUUGGUGGGGUAAUGGCCUACCAAGGCGGCGACGGGUAGCCGGCCUGAGAGGGUGGACGGCCACAUUGGGACUGAGAUACGGCCCAGACUCCUACGGGAGGCAGCAGUGGGGAAGAUUGCACAAUGGGCGCAAGCCUGAUGCAGCGACGCGGCGUGGGGGAUGACGGCAUUCGGGUUGUGAACUCAUUUCGCUAGGGACGAAGCUUUUUGUGACGGUACCUAGAUAAGAAGCACCGGCUAACUACGUG
RNAcentral lists this ribosomal RNA (465 nucleotides) under uncultured bacterium. RNAcentral's name for it is "partial 16S ribosomal RNA". It matches the Rfam family "Bacterial small subunit ribosomal RNA", at positions 28 to 507 of the family's 1533-position model. The record is from RNAcentral.